This 252-nucleotide ribosomal RNA is filed under the name uncultured bacterium. RNAcentral's name for it is "partial 16S ribosomal RNA". It matches the Rfam family "Bacterial small subunit ribosomal RNA", at positions 524 to 776 of the family's 1533-position model. The record is from RNAcentral.
UACGUAAGGUCCGAGCGUUGUCCGGAAUCAUUGGGCGUAAAGGGUACGCAGGCGGUUUAAUAAGUCGAAUGUUGAAGAUCGGGGCUCAACCCCGUAAAGCAUUGGAAACUGAUAAACUUGAGUAGUGGAGAGGAAAGUGGAAUUCCUAGUGUAGUGGUGAAAUACGUAGAUAUUAGGAGGAAUACCAGUAGCGAAGGCGACUUUCUGGCCAUUAUCUGACGCUGAGGUACGAAAGCGUGGGUAGCAAACAGG